UAUCAGUUAGUUGGUAGUGUAAUGGACUACCAAGACAGUGACGGUUGACGGGAAAUUAGGGUUUUGUACCGGAGAGGGAGCCUGAGAGAUUGCUCCCACGUCCAAGGACGGCAGCAGGCGCGAAAAUUGCCCACUCUUUGCAGGAGGCAGUUAUGAGACGUGAAGAUGAGUAUCUUGUAAAGAGGGAUAGGAGAAUUGGAGGGCAAGUUUGGUGCCAGCAGCCGCGGUAAUACCGACUCCAAGAGUGUGUAUGAGAGAUGCUGCAGUUUAAAAAGUCCGUAGUCAUAGAAGGGCAAAGAGAGAUGCGAGGUCUCACAGUGCGAUGAUGGAGGAGCCGAUGGGGAACAUAGUAUACCAGGGCGAGAGAUGAAAUGCCAAGACCCCUGGUGGACUGAGCGAGGCGAAGGCGAUGUUCUUGUAGGCAUUCGGUGAUCAAGGACGAAGGCUGGAGUAUCGAAAGUGAUUAGAUACCGCAGUAGUUCCAGCAGUAAAAGAUGCCGACAUGCUCAUUGGACACAGUGGG
Molecule: ribosomal RNA, 523 nt
Filed under: Vittaforma corneae
Lineage: Eukaryota; Fungi; Microsporidia; Nosematidae
Description: SSU rRNA
Rfam family: Microsporidia small subunit ribosomal RNA
Source: RNAcentral